RNAcentral lists this unclassified non-coding RNA (340 nucleotides) under uncultured fungus. RNAcentral describes it as "sequence contains ITS1". The stretch from base 1 to 104 matches the Rfam family "5.8S ribosomal RNA", at positions 50 to 154 of the family's 154-position model. Lineage: Eukaryota; Fungi. The record is from RNAcentral.
GAAAUGCGAUACGCAAUGCGAAUUGCAGAAUCCGCGAGUCAUCAGAUCUUUGAACGCAGCCCGCGCUGGAGGGAUAUCCUUCCAGCAUGUUUGUUUCAGUGUGUCCGGUUGACUUCAAUCAGCCAAAUGCGAUUGAGUUUUCUAAAAAAUUCUCUCUCGUUAAAGAUGAACGCAUGGGGGUUCAACCCUUCCAGCGAAGUGGUCACUGUUUUUCAGUGAUUUCGUUGGGUUACACAAGCGGUUGUUCCCACACUAUAUAAUAAUAGACGUGCGUUGUUAUUAAUCAUAACACUUCUUCGAUCAGCACCUGAAAUCAAGCAAGAUCACCCGCUGAACUUAA